This 120-nucleotide ribosomal RNA is filed under the name Prolemur simus (greater bamboo lemur). Lineage: Eukaryota; Metazoa; Chordata; Mammalia; Primates; Lemuridae. The record is from RNAcentral.
AUCUAUGGCCAUACCACCCUGAACGCGCCCGAUCUCGGCUGAUCUGGGAAGCUAAGCAGGGUUGGGCCUGGUCAGUGCUUGGAUGGGAGAAAAUAAAAUCUGGUUUGUGUGCCAAGGAGC